Molecule: transfer RNA, 87 nt
Filed under: Marinobacter salarius
Lineage: Bacteria; Pseudomonadati; Pseudomonadota; Gammaproteobacteria; Pseudomonadales; Marinobacteraceae
Description: tRNA-Leu
Rfam family: tRNA
About the family: Transfer RNA (tRNA) molecules are approximately 80 nucleotides in length. Their secondary structure includes four short double-helical elements and three loops (D, anti-codon, and T loops).
Source: RNAcentral
GCCGGGGUGGUGAAAUCGGUAGACACUACGGAUUUAAAAUCCGUUGACCGUUAGGUCGUGCGGGUUCAAGUCCCGCUCCCGGCACCA